AUGAAGAGGAAGACUACAGCAACAAUAGAUUUGUUUUUCAAGCCUAUUGCUUCUAGCUCUAAUGCAACUGAAAAUGCAAAUCCACCGGAGGAGCAACCUGUUGUAGAUGAUACUUCCAGCCCUAAUCUAGUUGAUAUGCAAACUGAUGAUCACAAUAUUGUGGCACCACUAGAAACUUUAGAAGAAGGUAGAACUAGAAGCACAAAAUAUGUGAGGGAUCCUGGUACACGCCAACAGAUUUGGGAACUCCAUCCCGAUAAGCAGGAUGAAGCACGUCGAUUCUAUGUUUCUAAGGGCGCUUUUCAUCCAUACAUGAAAGAGUAUCCAUAUAAUGGAACAACAAAAAACCGCCGCCGAUUCCAGUAUAGUUAUUUCACUGAUUGACCUUGGCUAGAGUAUUCACUUGUCACACAUCGUGCAUACUGCCUCUGUUGUUUCCUCUUUACGAAAAAGCCAACUGGAAAGUGUGGUUCAAGUGCAUUCAUAGUGGAUGGAUUUAUAAACUGGAGAAAGGUGAAUGAUGGCAAAUUGUGCUUUUAUAACCCACAUGGACAAAGAUUCCAACUCAGCCCAUAG
RNAcentral lists this ribosomal RNA (576 nucleotides) under Triticum aestivum (bread wheat). Its description in RNAcentral is "partial small subunit ribosomal RNA". Lineage: Eukaryota; Viridiplantae; Streptophyta; Magnoliopsida; Poales; Poaceae. The record is from RNAcentral.